Molecule: long non-coding RNA, 14230 nt
Filed under: Capsicum annuum
Lineage: Eukaryota; Viridiplantae; Streptophyta; Magnoliopsida; Solanales; Solanaceae
Description: long non-coding RNA (CANN_LNC018474)
Source: RNAcentral
GGAAUUGUUACAUGAAUUUUUUCAAUAACUCUCAAAUCUUUAAAGUAUCACCUUGUUGUUUGACUUUCAACUUCUUCACUUUUUUACUUGACCUUCAACUUCUUCACCUUGUUGCUUGACUUUCCAUUUAUUCUCCCUAUUCUUUAGGUGGGCUCCUACAAUCACAUCAAAACUAGAAAGAAAAUUAUUUCAAACAAAGAUUAUUAUAAAGACAGAUUCCAUUUGCAGAAAAGUAAAGUUUCAAAUAAUAGAAAUUAAAUUUUUGCUCCUGCUUAUCAUGAGAGGACUUUUGUGAAGGUCACAUCAUAACUACUUGAAAAAUCCAAACAAAGAAAUGCAUCUUCUAUGGGUUAAUUGGAAUGAUUCGACUAGAAAGUGUAUUUUCUAGGAGCCAAAGGGAAUGACUUGACUAGAAAGUACAUUUUCUAGGAAUCAAGGAAAAUGACUCAACUACGAAGUACAUAUUCUAGGAAUCAAGGGGACUGACUCGACUAGGAAGUAAAUCUUCUAGGGAUCAAGAGGAAUGACUCGACUAGGAAGUGCAUCUUCUAGGAAUCAAAGGGGAUGACUUGAACAGGAAGUACAUCUUCUAGGAAUUAAAGGGAAUGACUCGACUAAAAGGUAUGUCUUAUAGGAAUCAAGGGAAAUGACUCGACUAAAAGCUACGUCUUAUAGAAAUCAAGGGGAAUGACUCAACUAAAAGGUACGUCUUAUAGGAAUCAAGGGAAACAACUCGACUAAAAGGUACAUCUUAUAGGAAUCAGGGGGAACAACUCGACUAAAAGGUAUGUCUUAUAGGAAUUAAGGGAAAUGACUCGACUAAAAGGUACGUCUGAUAGGAAUCAAGGGGAAUGACUCGACUAAAAGGUACGUCUUCUAGGAGUCAAAGGGAAUAACUAGACUAGAAAGUACAUCUUCUAGAAAUCAAAGGGAAGUCAAGGAGAAUGACUCAACUAGAAGGUACGUCUUCUAGGAGUGAAGGUUUAAUUUAAGAAGUACUUUACCUAGUAAAUGAAAACUAAAAUCCCUGGACAAGAAAGUGUCUCCAAGGGAUAUAGGAUGAUGAAUUUUUAACAUGAUUUGAUUAUCAAACCUGUGCAACAAUAUAGCUUCCUGAAUUUGUAAAAGUGAGGCACUGCAACCCUUGAUAUUUAUGCUCUGAGUCCUUGCUUUGAAGGUAAUACAUUUCUUGUUUCAUCAAAGAAAACUUGUGUGUUUAAAACAUGGUGACUGGUUUGCGGCUUUAGCUUUCACAAUGAUCACUCUUGCCCUCAUCACAUUUAACCUUGCUUCCAAUCAUUAGCAUAUACCAUUGACUUGCUGCAUCAUUGACCCAAACUUAGGUUAUUAAGAGUGAAUUUGAAACAAACACUGUAUCUCUGUUUUGCCAUGUUUCUCAAAUAAACCCUUUGAACCUUGAUAUUUCCAUAAGUUUCCAAACUUGUUUGUUGACAAAAAUUUCUGCAUGCCUUAUUUUGGCUCACAAUCAUGUCUCUUUCAUGUGCUGGCUUUUGUCUUACUUUGUACAAUUGAAGAAGCUGAUAACAUGUUUUAAAAUAUUUUCUCACUUAUUUUAACAUGGACUUGAGUCAAAUACAAAAGAAAAAUGACAAUGAUUUUUAUCUAGAUAACUGACUAUAGAAAAUAAAAUAAAGAUAAAGAUAAGAAAAAAAAAAGACAAGAAAUGUCCCAAUUUGAAAUAAAGAAACAAAAAAAUUAUCUAAAAAUGACAAUCGACUAUAAUUAUUAAGCCAUGCAUUUUGGAUUAAGCUGCCUGAUCUAUCCAUCCAAACUUUCUACCAAUUGUUCUUGAGUUAAUGGCCUUGAAACUGAGUUACUUCCUUGGACCAAUUGCAUUCGGAGGCCUCAUUCGUCUAGUGACGCAUUGAAGGGUUCUUUCCAACAAGCCUCUCUCAUUUUCCUUUUCUCACCUCACCACUGCCUUAUGGUAUCCAUGAGGAUUUUUCACCAAUGAGACUCUUAUUUUCAUUUCUCUUAACUCGCAGUCGUCUUACAGUGCUGUGAGGUUUUUCACCAAUAAGACUCUCUUAUUUUUAUCUCUCUCAACUUAUCAUCACCUUAUGAUGUCCGUGAGGCUCUUCAUCAAUAAGAAUCUCUCAUUUUAUUUCUCUCCUGAUUACUUAUGCUGAGGAAGAUGGAUAGUUCAAAAAAUACUUAUGCUGAGAAAGAUGGAUAGUUCAAAAAUAUGUUAUCAUAUCUAUUACAUGCUUAGCCUUAACAUUCUCAAAGAUUAAUAUGAAGGUCUUUCUUUGGUUGUAACUUCGCUUUUGGAUAAGGUUACAAAGAAAGAAUGGCAUGAGGGUCAAACGACACUUGAAGUGGGGUAGGACUUACAACUUUUGGAAUCGACUCAAACAAUAAGGAUUAACUCAUGCCCCAGUUUCUUUUGGAUGGGUGACUCUAAAUUGCUUAUUUAGUUGGACCGAGCCCCAAGUAGGGUAGCCUACGUAUCUCACCCUCGAGAGAGGAGAAUCAGGUCGCACGUAGUUCUGACAACUUAUUCCUUUGCUUGAAUCUGAUUUCUUCUAGUGGAUGGUGGAAUAAUUGAUCUUCUAGUGAAGACUAAGGAGAGCGACUACCUGUUAGAAUAUGAGUAUGAAUAAGAAUAGCAUAUAAAAUCCUACUUGGAAAAGGAUUGUAAUGUAGUGUCCUAUUAGGAAAAGGAUUGGAAUGUAGUGUCUAUGAAUAGGACCUCAAUGUAAUAAUAUAGUUACAACAAUUCAAUAAUAUUCUUCUCUUAUAUUUCUUCACAUGGUAUCAGAGCCUCUACAAUCUUGAUAGAGAAUCAAAGAGCUUCCACUGUCGGCGGGUGGCUAUAACCCAUAUAUGUCGCCUGUCCGGCCAAUGAUAAUGUUAGUUAAGUUAGGCCACCGCACUUCUUUUCCAUUCUCAUAUUUAAUUUGUGUAGCACCAUGCAUCUUUCUGGUGACUACUUUCUCUUAUCAGAUUUGUGUGCAUCUCUCUGGACUAUGCACAUUUAAUUUGCAUAGUACCAUACAUCUUUUCGGACUCUUUUCUCAUAUCUGAGUUGCAUAGCACCGUGCAUCUUUUCGGUGACUUCUUAGAUCUGAUUUUUGUAGUUCCAUGCGUCUUUACGGUGACUCCUCAGAUCUGAUUUGCAUAGGGUCGUGCCAUCAUUCAGACCCUACCCAUAUAAGUUUUCUUUUUCAGUAGGGUCGUGUCGUUAUUCUAACCCUACCCAUAUAAUUUCUCUUUUUCAGUAGGGUCAUGUUGCUAUUCUGACCCUACCAAUACAAUUUCUAUUUUUCAAAAGGGUCGUGUCAUCAUUCCGACUCUACCCAUAUAAUUUUUAUUUCUCAGUAGGAUCGUGCCAUCAUUCCGACCUACCCAUAUAAUUCUCUUUCUUAGUAGGGUUGUGUCAUCAUUCCAACCUUACCUAUAUAAUUUUUUUCUCAAAUGGUGAUCACUUUUCAACUAUCAAAUCUAAUAAUUCCGCACGAGUAUGUUCGGGCCAGUUGUUCGAUGGCUAUCUUGUUCAAGAUCUACUCAUCUCUUGAUUUCAAGAUGAUCCGUAUAUUUUAUACCAGUUUUCGGCAAUUUUCCGGUGACACAUCGACUUUAUAGCGAUGUUUACUACUUUUCAGAUAACUUUUUCAGUUUGUUCCAUUUGAGUUGAGGUCUCCCAGAUGUCCAAAGUAGUCCUUAUUAGUUUUCUUGCAGAUAUUUUCACCAAGUCCCUCACUGAUUCUCAUAUUAGUUACAUCCAUAACAAGCUUGGUACAUAUGUCUUCAAUGCACUAGCUUGGGGGGAGUGUUAGAAUAUGAGUAGGAAAAGGAAUAACAUAUAAAAUCCUACUUGGAGAGGGAUUGUAAUGUAGCAUCCUAUUAGGAAAAGGAUUGGAAUGUAGUGUAUAUAUAUAGGACCUCAAUGUAAUAAUAUAGUUACGACAAUUCAAGAUAUUUUUCUCUUAUAUUUCUCACAUUACCAUUCUUAAAAGUGGUCAAGGAGAGAAAUCAGAUGGAUCAAGGAUGGAAUUAACCAGUAAUAAAGUAAGUGGUCAAGGAGAGAAAUCAGAUGGAUCAAGGAUGGAAUUAACCAGCAAUAAAGUGAUCCCAAAAAGGAUGAUUUCAAGUGGAUGAUUGGUUAUGGGUGUAGUCAAAUUAGAGGGAACGAACUAUUUCUGAUUUUCUUAAAAUCAAAACUCUCACAUUCUUUACUUCGGUAAUUGGCAAGAUUUUUUUUGGAAAUAAUUGGCUCAAUAUAUGAGCGAGUUCUUGAGCCGGGGGUCUAUCGAAAACAACCGCUUUACCUCUUCGGAGGUAGUGGCAUGGACUGCGUACAUUUUACCCUCCACAGACCUCACUUUGUGCAAAUACACUAGGUCUGUUAUUGUUGUUGUUGUUGUUGUUUAUUGACUCUUUUUUCUCUUUGAAACUUUCUGACUCUAUUUUUCUUGACACUCUUCUUUUUCUUUCUUUUUGGACACAUUUUUUUCUCUUUUUUUCUUUUUGAAACUUUUCUGACUCUAUUGUUUUGCUUGACACCUUUUCCUUUGAACCUUGCUAACUCUAUCUUAAUUCCAAAAGAGGGGUAUGAAGGAAAAUAGGACUAAAGCUCAAAUGGGAUAAACAGAGGAUGACACAAUGUUUGGAUAGCAUAAUGAAAUGUCUUCGUCAUAUCAAUCCUUAAAAAUGCAAGUAAUCAUGCAAUAUGAUAGUGAAAGAUGGAGAUCAUUCGUGGCAUUUUUUACAGCACUAACUUUAACUGAAUUUGUGCAUCACUAAUCUUGCACUUUAUUCAACAUACCACUCCACUUUUGUUGUACAUUCCUUGUGUUGAAGGACUCAUGCUUCGUGGAGCUAAUUUUCUUUUUGUUCCUUUUGACAUAGGAUUGCACAUUCACUAUUUGACCUAAUUGAGAUAUGUCUUUCAAUUGAUGACCAAGUUAUUCUUAUGAUUCCCAAAAUAACUGCCUUAAUUUUGAAAGAAGGCUUCAAUGUGGUCACCAAAUGUCUCAACACUCUACCAAUUUCUCAGAUACCUUUUUUUCUUUCCAACUUUAGCCUUCUGAUUCAAUGUUUCAUGAUUAAAUUGAAUUUUAAGAUUCGGCUGAAAAUUCUACGAGCAUGUCAUAUCACUAGAAUCAACAUAAAAUGUACUAUAUAAAGAAAAUAAACAAACAACAUAUGUUUAAAUAACAAAGGGAAAAGGAAACUUUAUUUAGUUGAAAUAAAAGAUAAAAGAAUUUGAACAUAAACGACAGAGGGACAAAACAAGAUAGAUCCUGAACUACAAUCCUGAAAUAAUUCAGAUAACAGAAAAGAAAAGAAAACAAACUACCAAACAUCCAUCCUAGCAGGGAGAGGAGUGACUUUCCAAUUGCUGAGCUUGACAUCUUAGCCACUGGUUUGCAUAUCAGCAUGACUAGAGCUUUCGUCACUGUCAAUGUUCUGCACCAUAAUUGAUCCAUCUUGAAUCAUUUUUUCAAUUUCUCUUUUUAAGUCUCAACAAUCUUUAAUACUAUGAACCUAAGCAUCAGAAUAAUACACACAUCGUACGUUAGGAUCAAAAUUUCUUCAACGCGGAUUAAAGUGUACCAAAUAAGAGGAGUGAUCAUGCCCCACUGUACCAAUCUUUGAAAUAAACUAGCAUACGACUCUCCAAUUGGUGUAAAUCUAUCUCUCAACUUCUACCUCAUUUCAUUGUUUGGCUCGGAUAAAAAUCGAGACUAGAAGGGCUUUGGUAUGUUUGUGGAGUUAGAGGAUGACUCUGGAGAGUUGGUGUGUGCCAUUGUGGGUAAUAUGGGUGUUGAACAUGUCCUUAUGCAUUAUACACUGGAUAUGGAGAUGGGGGAAUGGAGUAUAAUGGAUUUUGGGAGUGAUUAUGUAGAGCUUGGGCAUGAAAUUGGGUUUGAGCCUAAGAGCAACGACGACGUGGUCUUCUAGACCGCGCCCGCUGCUCAACUAAAACAGCAGAUACAUAUUCGUCAUUCUUCUUCUGCCCAACAUUUCUUGGACCCUUUUGAAUUGUUUGAGUAGUAGCUUUCAAUUUUGCAAAACUCAUAAUGUGACCAUUCUUAAUUCCAUCUUGUAUCAUCUCCCCCAUUUUAAGGACCUCAAUAAAUGGCUUGCCUAAUACUGGUAACAAGUGUUGACAAUAUGUUUCACCCUGUACUUGAAUGAAUUCCUCCACUAUCUUGCUUUCUUUUCUUGGCAGUUUCACCCUAGCAGCUUGUUCACUCCAACUGAUCGCAUAAUCCCUGAAACUCUCAAUAUUCUUCUUUUUUAUACUGGUUAGGGAUUUUUCGUCAUGGAUCAAUUCCACAUUAUAUUGAAAUUGUUGCAAACAAUCAUUAGCUAAAUCAUCCUAACUAUUCCGCCUAUCAAUAUCCUGAUCAACAAACCACUCUAAGGCUAGACCCAAAAGACUCUCACCAAAGUAAGCCAUAAGUGGUUCUUCUUUGCCUCCAGCACCUCUUAAUUGGUUAUAUAAUAACAUCUCAAAUGUGCCACCGGAUCCCCGUGUCCAUCAUAUUUCUCAAAAUUUGGCAUCUUAAAGCCGAAGGGAAGAUUGACACCUGAAAACAUGCAUAAGUCCUUAUAUGAGACACUUUUUAAACCCUCAAGUUCUUGAAAUUUCUUCAUAGUCAGUUUCAAACUUCUCAAUUUUCUGGUCAUUUCUUCUUGUUUUUCUGUCAUAACAGUCUUCUCUGUGUUAAGAGAAAAGAGAAAAUUCAGGCAAGUGAGUAUAGCCGUAAGGACUAGUUAACUUAAAUGUGGGCUCGGAAGCAUAAUAACGAUCACCAGAAAUAUUCAAUAUAGGCUCUCUUGUAGAGUAGGGAGGAACAACCGAUGCAUGGACAUCAAAAGUAGGAGCUUCAAAUGGAGGUUGUGUUGCAAAAACAUGAAGAGUAGGUAGAUUCUAGCAUGUGGUAGUCUUGUGUUGAGGAUUGAGGAAAUGAAUAUUGGAAGUGUUUGGAUAGUGUUGCCGUGAUUUCAUAGACUUUUGAACGAGGAAGGGGACAGAGCCAUUGAGCUAGAGGAGCUGGAGCAUUCGAAGAAGAGCCGUAAUUUCACCUACUGUAGGCAUUUUAAUGUAGAGGAGGUCAAAGAGGCUAUUUAUAAGAUGCAGAGGGGUAGGGCGACGGGGCUGGAUAAGAUUUUAGAAGAUUUUUAGAAGUAUGCAGGCGGGGCAGGGCUUAGGUGGUUGACGGAUUUGUUUAACAGUAUUUUCAAGACUGCGAUAAAGCCUGAGGCUUGGAGAUGGAGUAAGAUAAUUUUGCUUUAUAAAAACAAGGGUGACAUUCAGAGUUGCAACAACUACAGGGGUAUUAAUUUGUUGAGUCACACUAUGAAGAUUGGGGAGAGAGUGAUUGAGUGAAGAUUGAGGAGGGUUGUGUCUGUUUUGGAGAACCAGUUUAGAUUUAUGCCUGGUCGUUCAACAACAGAGGUAAUCUAUUUGGUGAGGAGAUUAGUGGAGCAUUAUAGAGAAAAGAAGAGGGACUUACACUUGGUGUUCAUUGACCUACAAAAUGCAUAUGAUAAAGUUCCGAGGGAGGUUCUUUGGAGGUGAGAAGGGUCCCGGUGGCGUACAACAGAGUUAUUAAGGGCAUGUACGGUGGAGGGAAGACUAGGGUGAGGACAGCGAGAGGAGACUCAGACUAUUUUUUGGUCAAGACAAGGUUGCAUCAGGGAUUGACUCUUAGUCCAUUCCUAUUUGUGAUGGUGAUGGACGUGUUGACGCGGAGUAUUCAAGGCGAAGUAUCUUGGUGUAUGCUAUUUGCAGAUGAUAUAGUGCUGAUUGAUGAGAUGCAGAGGGGAGAGAAAGACAAAUUGGAGGUUUGGAGGCAAACUCUUGAGUCAAAGGGGUUCAGGUUGAGUAGGUCCAAGAAAGAGUAUUUGAAAUGCAAAUUUAGUGACUUGAGACAGGAGAACGAUGUGGUGGUGAGGUUGGACUCCUAAGAUGUUUGUAAGAGGGAUAGUUUUAAGUAUCUUGAGUCUUUGAUCUAGGGAAAUAAUGAGAUUGAUGAGGAUGUCACCAAUCGUAUUGGUGCAGGUUGGAUGAAGUGGAGGCUCACCUCGGGGGUGCUAUGUGAUAAGAAAGUACCCCUUAAGCUUAAAGGAGAAUUCUAUAAAGUGGCAGUCCAUCCGGCCAUGUUGUAUGGCGUGGAGUGUUGGCCAAUCAAGCACUCCCACAUCUAAAAAGUGAGGGUGGUGGAAAUGCGGAUGUUGCAUUGGAUGUAUGGGCUUACUAAAGGGGAUGGGAAUAGGAAUGAGAUUAUUCGGGAGAAGAUGGGAGUGGCGUUGGUGGAGGACAAGAUGCGGGAAGAAACACAGAGAUGGUUUGGACAUGUAAUGAGGAGGGACGCGGAUGCCCCAGUGCGUAUGUAUGAGAGACUAGCGUUGGAUGGCUUCAGAAGGAGUAGAGGUAGACCGAAUAAAUACUGGAGGGAGGUGAUCAGACAUAACAUGAAGCAGUUGCAGCUUACUGAGGACGUGACCCUAGAUAGGAAGGUGUAGAGGUUGUGGAUAAGGGUAGAAGGCUAGCAGGAGGGUGUGAGUUGUAGCAAGCCACCAAGAGAGAUCUUGUGUAGCUGGGUUAGUAACCUUGGGUCUGUGUCUAUAGGUGUCUAUGGCGGCGAGUAUGUGUUACUUAUACGUGGGUGUCCCUUUCAUAUUUUCUCAGUUGCUAUCUGUUUAUUUUGUGUUACCGUAUCUCUCGUAUUUUCGUAUUGCUUUGAUUUACUUUUUAUUAUUCCUUACGCCUUUUCUAUUGUGUAAUCCAUCUCCUUGUCACCUAUUCUUUAUCUUGAGUCGGGGGUCUAUCGGAAACAACCUCUCUACUUUUUCGGAGGUAGUGGUAUGAACUGCGUACAUCUUACCCUCCCCAAACCCCACUUUAUGGGAACACACUGGGUUUUUUGUUAUUGUUGUUGUUUCGAUAGUGUUGCCCUAGAGUGGAUCCUGAUGCAUGUUGUAGCAUGUCAACAAAAAUAGGAAACUGUGCAUGUGACAUUGGAGGCAAGCUAGAAAGAUAUUCUAGAUUAUCAGUGGAAAAUGAAAGAGGCGGCAACCCAAUAGCCCAAUCUCAAUGAAUUUCUAUCAUUUGUUGCCUUAAUUUCUGAAUCUUUUCAUUAGCUCCAAAAUUCUCAUCCCUCCAAACUCCUUAUCUAAUUAGUGACAACAACCUCGAUAUUCUUGUUGGCCAUAACUUUCUCUUUGACUUGGUACAAUGUGGAGGACCAGCCAAAAUGCCAUAAACAAACCACCUUAAAUUAACUAAACAAGUGAUAACAAAGGAGUUAGAAUGCAAUACCUUUCAAAAACUCCUUUUCUUUUAUAUCUUUUUUUUAAAAGAUCACCGAACCCAAGAAGGGUAUCUACGUAUCUCACUCCUGAGAGAGGAGAAUCAGAUGUGCGUAGUUCGUGAAGUCUUGCCAAAAUGGCUGAUUAAACUUUUUUUCCUUUUUUUUUUCUUUUUCUUGAAACUUUAAAAAGAAAAGAAAAUAACAAAUUGUCAAAAGAACUGAUGAAAAUCUUUUUGCAUUUUUUAAGUUUAAACUCCCUAUACAAAAUGAAACAUAUGAUUACCAAAGAAAAAUCUUUUCGAUUUUCUAUUUUCAAUUUCAUACGACAAUGAAACUUGAAGCUAUUAAAGCAAAAUCUUUUUGUGAUUUUCUUUUAAAGAUGUAGAUGAACACUUACUCUAAAUCAAGAGUAAAGAAAAUCAUUUUAUUUUUAAUUUUGAAUAAGAUCACCGAACUCACGAAGGGCUGCCUAUGUAUCUCACUCCCGAAAGAGGAGAAUCAGGUGUGCGUAGUUCAUCCAGAUUGGACGAUUAAAGGUUGAGUAACCGACUUGUAAUAGCCAGCUUAUUAUCUACUUUUAAUGAAGGUUUAAUUGGUAAUUAUAACUGACUAUUAAUGGUAAUUAAGGGAAUUAAAGUGGACAAGCCAAAAGCCUUCUUCAUUUUCAGCUAUUAGCGUUAUAAGUUUACUACUAGGGCCUUUCUAAUCCUAUUAUUUUGGAGAGCAGCAGAAAGUUGCGUAGGAAAGAAAAAAAACAGAAAGCAACUAAAGAAAUUAUUCAAUCCCUCUUUUUUUUGAACUGGAAAGAAAUAGCUUUGAAGAGAGAUUUUUGGUUGUUCAUGCGCGGUGAUAGAAAGCUUGUAUAAUAGCAAGUUCAUAGUCAGGUAUGAAAUCUAAUUAUUAUUGUGUACUCUACAUAGAGGUUGCUAUGAUUCUUGUUUAAGAAGCAUAAUUAACUAUGGCUUAAAAAAAUAAAUAGAGAAACCAACGGAAGUUUGGGGAGUGCAGACAACAUUAGCAAGGAGCAGAAAAAGAAAAUAGUUUAUGCAUCUUGUAAUGCUUUGAAAAAGGAAAAGAUUCAAUGAAUACUAUUACUAUUAGGAUCCUAUUGCUAAUUGUACGUUAGUGUAGGAAAAAAAAGAGAUUAGAGUAAUGAUUAACCAAUGAUUGAAGGAAAAGAAUGAUUUGAGGUUAAUUAGUGGAUGUUGGUGUAAAAUAUUGGAUAGUGGUAUAUUUAAUAGAAAACAAGAAAAUCGUUAUCUACUGCUACAACUCUUAUUUCUGCCAUUCUUUAUUAUAUUUGAAGACUUUUCAAAUAAUCAGAAAAUAAUGGGAGAAACUGAAAAGUAUUAAACCCGAUGGACAAAUAGUGUCCAAUGCGUGAAGCCUGAUUUCUGUUAAGUUAGCUUCCUGAUAGUAUCAUGUUGGGACAGUGGUGCUAAGAUAUUGUUAUCUUUAAUACAUGGUUUAAGGUGAAGAUUAUUGCGGCUUAGCUUUAAGACUGAAAGUAGCAGAUCUUGACACUUGAUUCUGAAUAGCGUAAUUGAUAUCAGUACUUGAUACUUUUGAUAGAUUGAAACCAUUGGAGGUUGUUUGGUUGGUGUUCUUUGCAUUUGCAAGGUUGGGAAACUUGUUGUUAGUGAGGUAAGUGAGACUUUAAGGUUUGAUGCUUGCUUUUCAAAUUUGCUUUAUAAAGAUUAUACUUUUCUGCCUAGUCCAUGUGUUGGGACAAGCGUGAACUCGGUAGAAUAUGUGGUCUUUGACAAGCUGUGGAUAUUUAUUUUGUGAACUGUACUGAGAAUCAGCUAGAGGUGAAACGCGAGGUGAGGUUGGGGUGUUGAAUAUAUAUUUUUGCUUCCGUUAUAGUCUCUAGGGGCAUACAUAGCUGUCGUAAUAUGUUAGGGGCAUUACUUUUGCUGCCGAAAUAUGUUAGGGGCAUUAUUUAUGCUGCCGUAAUAUGUUAGGGGCAUUACCUAUGCUUUCGUAAUAUAUUAGGGGCUUGUACAUGUUGCCGUAGUAGACUUUUCGGGCAUUAUAUAUGCUACCGUGGACUUGUUGGAGUGUUAGGCCGAUCACCUUCGCUGCCAUUUAUGACAAGUCGUGAGUGUGGACUGAGUUGUUAUGAGAUGACAUUUCAAACCCCUUUGAAAAUCUUAUUGAUAUUAUUUUAUGAAAGAUAUUAUGUACAUAUUUUUUGUGUAUCUUUGUUGUGUUUUGUAUUUUCUAACACUUGUUCCAGGGGUAUUAAAGUAGCGAGUCGAUGAUCUUACUGGGUUAUAUAUUUAUAUAUAGUUCACUCCUUACUUGCAUACGUACAGAUACGAUUGCAGGGAGAGACGCUCGUGGCUGACUGUAUUUACGUGUGGAUUCUAUCUUUAAGAUGAGCCUUCGCAUUAUUCGUGAAGGCUGUUAUUCAUCUCUAAUUAUUUUAGCUUAUGUUUCAGUUCAUUGGGUUUGUAGGCCCAAAGUUGAACUUAUGUAAUUUUGUUUAGAUGCUCCAUAAAUUCAGUGUGGGAUUUGGGUUAAAAAUUUGUUAUCUAAACUAUUGUAGUUUUCAUAAAUUGCUAUGCAAUAUCUUGUUGGAUAAUUAUUCUGCGUUAAUCAUUAUUUAGUGCACAUAGUGUUGUGUAUGUUUUCAUUUCAGUGUUUGUAGAUAUGGGGAAUGAAUAGAAAAAUUGGUUCUCCUAGCAAAAGGUGUUGUUGGGAGCCAGUCACGCCUAGGGGUUAUUUUGGGGCGUGACACGACUGAACCUAACUUGGGAGACACGACCAAAGAUAGACGAUGAACAACGUCAAGAAAAUCUUUUGGGUUUUUAAUUAGACAUUUCACAUAAAAAUGACACCAACAACUAUGAAAGGAAAUUUUUUUUGGUGUUUUCAUUUUAUGAAAUAUACACAACUACUACCAUGUUAUUUUUUUUUGAAUUUUUCUUUCAUAAAAAUUCCUAUUAAUUUUUUUUUGAAAUUUUUGAAUAAUUAAUGCAUGUUAAAAGAAUCAAAAGGAAAAUCUUUUUUGAAUUUUUGGAUUGUGAAAAAUAAAAGCAAAAACAAAACUCCAAAAAAAAAAACUAUGAAACUCUUUUUCUUUUGCUUUUCUUUUUUUCCUUCUUUUUUCUCAACAAUUUCUUAGCUACAUGCUUUACUUCUAACACAUGUUUUUUCCCAAAAUCAAUCUGUCAAAUGACCCCGUUACCCUCAAAGAUGCAACAUUUAGCACGUAGGGAUGCUUUAGAGGUGAGUCUCUUACAAAGGACCAAGUGGGUCCCGCUAGAUCUCAAUAUGAUGCAGAUAAGCAUGACCUAAAGGCUGACCUACGUUGGAGUUCACUAACAAGGCUAUUCGGGGGAGCGUAUGCUCGAUAGUGGCUGCGAUAGCUUUCCACCCACUCCAUACCAGCCGGUGGCUCCCCCUUCCUAAAAUAAGGGUGACUCAAUCAGAGAUCGUGUACACAGCGUGUACUACAGAGCUUGUUGCAGAAAAAAUUAGCUUGGGUUAUGCAAACGAUGUCAGAUAUAAAGCGGUAACACAGAAUAGGAGAAACUAUAAACACAUAGCAAGUAGGCACUCAACAAUGAUAAACAAAUACAAACAAUAAUACAAACAAUAUUUAUACACCCAUAAUGUCAAACUAAACCGAUAUAACUCCAAAAAUAAGCUCGAAGUCUGAAAAGUUCCCAGCAAAGUUGCCAGAGCUAUUACACCCCCGUUUUAACCAAAAAAGAUAGAUUUUAAGAUUUUAUAGGAUUUUUAUUAUUAUAAUGUGACAAAAAUGAAGAUUUGUUUCGAAAAAGAUUCAUUUUACGAUUAACUCAGAGUCGUCACUUGGCAUAAUCCAAUGUGUCAGGUCAUCUUUGGAUAAACCUUUUCAAAAUGAUUUAACUCUUUAAACUGAUUUUCGAAUAGAAAUUUCGGAUAAGGAAUUCUGUCGACUCCAUAGAGUCUAUCGGCUAAUCUAACACUAUGAAUAUAUAAACCAUUUAAAACACACAAAACAAACAAUCAAACAAACAAAACAAGUUUAAAAAUAUAAUGUCCAAUUCAAAUUAUACAGUCCCAAAAAAUAGAAAAAAUACAUAAAUGUAAAUCCUAUUCUAAACUAAUCGUAGACUAAACUCCAAUGCUUUAACCGAUUCCUCGGGCCUUGAUCACGAGCCUCCUUUGCGUACAUGAUAUUUCGGGGCAUUUCUUAGUGAAUAAGUAUAAUAUGCCUCAAGGUAUUCUCGGCCAAAUGAAUACAAUUGAUCAAAAUGCAGUAAACAAUCCAUUCAACACAUAUUCCAAACAUUACACAAUCCACAAGUUCUAAAUAUGCCUACCCGAACCUACCGUUUGCCUACCCAGCUCGACCUAUCAUGACAUUAUCACAUUCAACAACAUCAAUGAAUCAAAAUAACUAACGCUAGCUUUUAUCAAUUUUUAAUUUCCAUCCCUCAAAUAAGUAAUUUUACCUCUUGAGUGAGAUAUCAUUUAAUCACAUAAUUCAUAAUCAAGAGGGACCAAACACGAUUCAAAACAAGCAAAUAUUCACCAUCAACACAGAUCAAGCAACAUAUAACACAUAAUUCGAUGCAUUCGAAUAUAAUAAAUAAUGAAAUAAAAAGAGGAAGGAGUAGAAUUGGACCUCAGAGUUACUUUAUUUAAUCAACUUGAACCGAUUUCAACAGCGACGGCAGCCUCGGGAACCAAUGAACCUCGAAUAGACUCGAAUCGACCAUCCUCAUCCUCAAACUCGCCAAUCGAACAAUCCUCAAUACGAACCCCAAAAUCAACAAAUAACGAGACGAAUCAACCACGGAAACCCCUAAGAAAUCUGAUUUGAACGCAGUUUCUUGAAGAAGACGAAUCCCGAAAACAACACACAUAAAAAUCCAAGCGGAAUACCAACACAUAUACGAUUCGAAAUGAAUUUUGGGAAAGAUUGAUUUCUGGUGACGUCGUUU